GAUGAACGCUGGCGGCAUGCCUAAUACAUGCAAGUCGAACGCGGCCAUCCGGUGCUUGCACUGGUGAAGCCGAGUGGCGAACGGGUGAGUAACACGUGAGAAACCUGCCCUGGAGUGGGGAAUAACUCGAAGAAAUUCGAGCUAAUACCGCAUACCUUCUCUUCACCGCAUGGUGAGUUGAAGAAAGAUUUAUCGCUCUAGGAGGGUCUCGCGGCCUAUCAGCUAGUUGGUGAGGUAAUGGCUCACCAAGGCAUCGACGGGUAGCUGGUCUGAGAGGACGAUCAGCCACACUGGGACUGAGACACGGCCCAGACUCCUACGGGAGGCAGCAGUAGGGAAUCUUGCGCAAUGGGCGAAAGCCUGACGCAGCAAUGCCGCGUGCGGGACGAAGGCCCUAGGGUCGUAAACCGCUUUCAGUAGGGACGAAAAUGACGGUACCUGCAGAAGAAGCUCCGGCCAACUACGUGCCAGCAGCCG
This 477-nucleotide ribosomal RNA is filed under the name uncultured bacterium. RNAcentral's name for it is "bacterial SSU rRNA". It matches the Rfam family "Bacterial small subunit ribosomal RNA", at positions 28 to 517 of the family's 1533-position model. The record is from RNAcentral.